GACGAACGCUGGCGGCGUGCUUAACACAUGCAAGUCGAACGGAAAGGCCCUGCUUUUGUGGGGUGCUCGAGUGGCGAACGGGUGAGUAACACGUGAGUAACCUGCCCUUGACUUUGGAAUAACUUCAGGAAACUGGGGCUAAUACCGGAUAGGAGCUCCUGCUGCAUGGUGGGGGUUGGAAAGUUUCGGCGGUUGGGGAUGGACUCGCGGCUUAUCAGCUUGUUGGUGGGGUAGUGGCUUACCAAGGCUUUGACGGGUAGCCGGCCUGAGAGGGUGACCGGCCACAUUGGGACUGAGAUACGGCCCAGACUCCUACGGGAGGCAGCAGUGGGGAAUAUUGCACAAUGGGCGGAAGCCUGAUGCAGCAACGCCGCGUGCGGGAUGACGGCCUUCGGGUUGUAAACCGCUUUCGCCUGUGACGAAGCGUGAGUGACGGUAAUGGGUAAAGAAGCACCGGCUAACUACGUGCCAGCAGCCGCGGUGAUACGUAGGGUGCGAGCGUUGUCCGGAUUUAUUGGGCGUAAAGGGCUCGUAGGUGGUUGAUCGCGUCGGAAGUGUAAUCUUGGGGCUUAACCCUGAGCGUGCUUUCGAUACGGGUUGACUUGAGGAAGGUAGGGGAGAAUGGAAUUCCUGGUGGAGCGGUGGAAUGCGCAGAUAUCAGGAGGAACACCAGUGGCGAAGGCGGUUCUCUGGGCCUUUCCUGACGCUGAGGAGCGAAAGCGUGGGGAGCGAACAGGCUUAGAUACCCUGGUAGUCCACGCUGUAAACGGUGGGUACUAGGUGUGGGGUCCAUUCCACGGGUUCCGUGCCGUAGCUAACGCUUUAAGUACCCCGCCUGGGGAGUACGGCCGCAAGGCUAAAACUCAAAGGAAUUGACGGGGCCCCGCACAAGCGGCGGAGCAUGCGGAUUAAUUCGAUGCAACGCGUAGAACCUUACCUGGGUUUGACAUGGAUCGGGAGCGCUCAGAGAUGGGUGUGCCUCUUUUGGGGUCGGUUCACAGGUGGUGCAUGGCUGUCGUCAGCUCGUGUCGUGAGAUGUUGGGUUAAGUCCCGCAACGAGCGCAACCCUUGUUCACUGUUGCCAGCACGUUAUGGUGGGGACUCAGUGGAGACCGCCGGGGUCAACUCGGAGGAAGGUGGGGAUGACGUCAAGUCAUCAUGCCCCUUAUGUCCAGGGCUUCACGCAUGCUACAAUGGCUGGUACAGAGAGUGGCGAGCCUGUGAGGGUGAGCGAAUCUCGGAAAGCCGGUCUCAGUUCGGAUUGGGGUCUGCAACUCGACCUCAUGAAGUCGGAGUCGCUAGUAAUCGCAGAUCAGCAACGCUGCGGUGAAUACGUUCCCGGG
Molecule: ribosomal RNA, 1343 nt
Filed under: uncultured bacterium
Lineage: Bacteria
Description: 16S ribosomal RNA
Rfam family: Bacterial small subunit ribosomal RNA
Source: RNAcentral